UACGAGGGGGGCAAGCGUUGUUCGGAAUUAUUGGGCGUAAAGGGCGCGUAGGCGGUGCGGUAAGUCUGAUGUGAAAUCUCCGGGCUCAACUCGGAGUCUGCAUCAGAAACUGCCGUGCUCGAGUGUGGGAGAGGUGAGUGGAAUUCCCGGUGUAGCGGUGAAAUGCGUAGAUAUCGUCUGGAACGCCAAAGGUGAAAACAGCUCGCUGGGGUUGUGCUGACGCUGAGACACGAAAGCCAGGGGAGCGAACGGG
This 253-nucleotide ribosomal RNA is filed under the name uncultured bacterium. RNAcentral's name for it is "partial 16S ribosomal RNA". It matches the Rfam family "Bacterial small subunit ribosomal RNA", at positions 524 to 776 of the family's 1533-position model. The record is from RNAcentral.